AUUUGUCUGGCGAAAAUGCUGUCUAAUUGUGGCCACUGCCCACCUCUUCUCAACUCCACGUUUAAUGACAUCAUGCAUUUUAAAACACUGUUGCGAGAAGGGAUCCCGAGGCUCAGCUAGACUUGCCAAAGGAGUUCAUGAAACAACAAAAAGGUUAAGACCACCAGACAUCCAACUCAACCAGACAAACUUGCUCAGACCAGCCAGGCAGUAUAAGUCUCCCACAGAACAGGAGCAGAAGCAGAAAAUGAAUGAUGUUUCUGUAUGCCCCCAAUCCUGCUAGUGCGACUUCUCCAAGACCGCCAUUUUCCUCAGAUUCCCUUUGCCCUGCCAAGCCUGUUCUACCCUUUGCCCUGCCAAGCCUUGUUCUACCCUUUGCCCUUAAAACCAGAGCGCCUAUUGUUCCUAAUUUGAAUGCAGUGGGUACUCUUUUACACCCUCUGUCAGCCUCCUGUCCUUUGUUUAAGGAGUCCUGCAUUUAUUAAACACAUCUAUUACAAAACGUAUCAUUUAAGCCAAAGAUUUAACGGAGAAAUAUGAAGAUAUUUCUCUGAAAUGACUAAAACAAACGUAGGUCAAUAUUAUGACUUGUUAAGAAAUCAAUCAUACAAAGAGGAAAGGAGAGAAAGAAGAAGUCCCGUGUGGAAGAGAUAGGAGGGUGCUGCACAGAAAAAGAAAAUGAGACAGAAGCAUCGUCAAGAGAAAGAAAACCAGAUAUGCAUAGAGCCAGAGACCGGAAGAGAGGCCAGAUGUUGAAAGACGGAGCCUGACAAAGUGAACCGCCUCUUCCCAGGCAGAGCCUCCAAAGACAAGACCUGGUCUGACCAGAAAGGACCAGGCAGGAAAAUGGGUGCAUUCCACACCAAGUCCAGGCUGUAUCUUUACAACCUGCACAGAGAGCACACUAGAAGCACCCAAAGAGUGACAACAGGCACGAACACCUAAACACCUACACCCCAGGGCCGAUAUCUCCAUCUGUGGUCCUGGAGAUACUGGGAUGUUACCCAUUUUCACAACUCCAGGCAUAAAUGAAGAAAAGACCAUUUGUCAUUUGCCAUUUAAGCAAAAUGAACUUGAAGCCAGGUCAAAACUCCCCCAUGUCUGGUAACCUCUGGGGAAGGCAUUACCGCCUUUUUGUAGAAAAGACACAUUGGGAGGAGGUAGCUGGCAUAGUUCUCUUCCAUUUAUUGUUUCUUAAAAGACACUAAAGUUGCAUGGUCUUAUGGCAACCCAGAGUUCCAUGUAGCGCAAAAAAAAAAAAAAAAGGAUUUAUUAAAUGAGUGACUAUUUGUAAACUUUU
Molecule: long non-coding RNA, 1300 nt
Organism: Suricata suricatta (meerkat)
Lineage: Eukaryota; Metazoa; Chordata; Mammalia; Carnivora; Herpestidae
Exons: 4
Source: RefSeq, a predicted model, not a curated record